Molecule: ribosomal RNA, 1273 nt
Filed under: Escherichia coli
Lineage: Bacteria; Pseudomonadati; Pseudomonadota; Gammaproteobacteria; Enterobacterales; Enterobacteriaceae
Description: partial 23S ribosomal RNA
Rfam family: Bacterial large subunit ribosomal RNA
Source: RNAcentral
AUCAAGGCUGAGGCGUGAUGACGAGGCACUACGGUGCUGAAGCAACAAAUGCCCUGCUUCCAGGAAAAGCCUCUAAGCAUCAGGUAACAUCAAAUCGUACCCCAAACCGACACAGGUGGUCAGGUAGAGAAUACCAAGGCGCUUGAGAGAACUCGGGUGAAGGAACUAGGCAAAAUGGUGCCGUAACUUCGGGAGAAGGCACGCUGAUAUGUAGGUGAAGCGACUUGCUCGUGGAGCUGAAAUCAGUCGAAGAUACCAGCUGGCUGCAACUGUUUAUUAAAAACACAGCACUGUGCAAACACGAAAGUGGACGUAUACGGUGUGACGCCUGCCCGGUGCCGGAAGGUUAAUUGAUGGGGUUAGCGGUAACGCGAAGCUCUUGAUCGAAGCCCCGGUAAACGGCGGCCGUAACUAUAACGGUCCUAAGGUAGCGAAAUUCCUUGUCGGGUAAGUUCCGACCUGCACGAAUGGCGUAAUGAUGGCCAGGCUGUCUCCACCCGAGACUCAGUGAAAUUGAACUCGCUGUGAAGAUGCAGUGUACCCGCGGCAAGACGGAAAGACCCCGUGAACCUUUACUAUAGCUUGACACUGAACAUUGAGCCUUGAUGUGUAGGAUAGGUGGGAGGCUUUGAAGUGUGGACGCCAGUCUGCAUGGAGCCGACCUUGAAAUACCACCCUUUAAUGUUUGAUGUUCUAACGUUGGCCCGUUAUCCGGGUUGCGGACAGUGUCUGGUGGGUAGUUUGACUGGGGCGGUCUCCUCCUAAAGAGUAACGGAGGAGCACGAAGGUUGGCUAAUCCUGGUCGGACAUCAGGAGGUUAGUGCAAUGGCAUAAGCCAGCUUGACUGCGAGCGUGACGGCGCGAGCAGGUGCGAAAGCAGGUCAUAGUGAUCCGGUGGUUCUGAAUGGAAGGGCCAUCGCUCAACGGAUAAAAGGUACUCCGGGGAUAACAGGCUGAUACCGCCCAAGAGUUCAUAUCGACGGCGGUGUUUGGCACCUCGAUGUCGGCUCAUCACAUCCUGGGGCUGAAGUAGGUCCCAAGGGUAUGGCUGUUCGCCAUUUAAAGUGGUACGCGAGCUGGGUUUAGAACGUCGUGAGACAGUUCGGUCCCUAUCUGCCGUGGGCGCUGGAGAACUGAGGGGGGCUGCUCCUAGUACGAGAGGACCGGAGUGGACGCAUCACUGGUGUUCGGGUUGUCAUGCCAAUGGCACUGCCCGGUAGCUAAAUGCGGAAGAGAUAAGUGCUGAAAGCAUCUAAGCACGAAACUUGCCCCG